RNAcentral lists this unclassified non-coding RNA (1425 nucleotides) under Leishmania donovani. Its description in RNAcentral is "gene:LdHU3.32.0540(CDS-product:60S_ribosomal_prot ein_L17_putative)". The record is from RNAcentral. Lineage: Eukaryota; Euglenozoa; Kinetoplastea; Trypanosomatida; Trypanosomatidae.
AAACCUACUUCUCUGUUAGCCAUGACGCACUACUCCCGAAAGCCGCAGGUGUCGUCGAAGAGCGCCAAGGCGAAGGUUAGCGACCUCCGCUGCCACUACAAGAACACCUUCGAGACCGCAAAUGUAAUCAACGGCAUGCCGCUUCGCAAGGCUCAGCAGCUGUACCGUCAGGUGCUCGCCAAGACCCGCUGCAUCCCGUUCAAGCGCUACAACGGCAAGAUCGGCCGCACCGCUCAGGCGAAGGAGUGGGGCCAGACCAAGGGCCGCUGGCCGCGCAAGUCCGUCGUGGCGAUGAUGUCGCUGCUCAAGAACGCCGAGGCCAACGCCAUCGAGAAGGGUCUUGACCCCAACCAGAUGGUCAUCAAGCACGUCCAGGUGGACCAGGCUGCCCGCAUGCGCCGCCGCACGUACCGUGCCCACGGUCGCAUCACGCCGUACAUGUGCAGCCCCUGCCACGUGCAGCUGUUCAUGUCGGAGAAGAAGGAGCGCGUCCCGGCCCCGAAGAGCGCCCCCAAGAAGUAAGCGCACGGUGACGUACGGAAAGCGACUCGGGUAGAGCCUUCAGGGGUGACGAUGCUGCUAUGCAGAGAUGAGCGGAUGGAGGAGCGAGGCACACACGUUCGCGAGGGCAGCUUGAUGCGACCGAGAGAUAUGUGAGCGAGCCAGCAACUCGCGUCCGUGAGCAGCAUCGGUAAACAUUCUCUCGUCCUUUCUUCCUUCUCAUCUCUCUCUUCGGUUCGCUUCUUCCUGAGUUGUGUCUGCAUUUUUGGCCUCCCUGGACCGCCAUCACCGCUGAGCUGGAUGUCGCAUCACCUCCGCCGUCCCGGUGGCUACUUCCCGUGUUCAGUUCUUCCGCCCCUUCCCCCCUCCACCUCCCACCACACGUGCACCGAGCUCAACCGCGAAGAGGUUUCUUUGCUUUUCCUUUAUUUUCUUCUUUCGGCGUACUUUCACGAGCUAGAAAUGGAAAAGCGAAACAAACGUGAAAACAGGGAAGACACGGGCAAGAGAACACUAGGACAACUGCGUGGCGCAGCGGCUAGGCUUCCCGCCUGUCUUCCCCACUUGUCUUUGUUGAUCGCGUCCUGUGCUCAUUUACGUGCUGGCGCCGUCCGGGCCACUGCACUUCAGAGUGAGGUCUCUGCCACCCAUGGGAGCCAGAGCCCCGCCGCUUCCCUCCUACACCGCGCUUUGGCUGCCCGUCGUCGUGUCGAUCCGCCUUCCUGCCUGGGUCGCCACUCCAUCCGCUCUGAAAGGGCAAGGUGAACGACACGAACGCAGGAGUGUGAGGAAUGCGGCGACCAGAGCGAGGAGAAGGGAGGAGCUCCCUUGGCGCAACAGGCUGAUUCUCUUGCCGUGUGUCGCGUUGUGCUACCUCUUCCCACCUUUCCUUGCAUCUCCAUCCCAUCUUCCCAAUCUCUUCAG